RNAcentral lists this ribosomal RNA (281 nucleotides) under uncultured soil bacterium. RNAcentral's name for it is "partial 16S ribosomal RNA". It matches the Rfam family "Bacterial small subunit ribosomal RNA", at positions 26 to 311 of the family's 1533-position model. The record is from RNAcentral.
AGAUUGAGCGCUGGCGGCAGGCCUAACACAUGCAAGUCGAGCGGUAGAGAGGUGCUUGCACCUCUUGAGAGCGGCGGACGGGUGAGUAAUGCCUAGGAAUCUGCCUAGUGGUGGGGGAUAACGUUCGGAAACGGACGCUAAUACCGCAUACGUCCUACGGGAGAAAGCGGGGACCUUCGGGCCUCGCGCCAUUAGAUGAGCCUAGGUCGGAUUAGCUAGUUGGUGAGGUAAUGGCUCACCAAGGCGACGAUCCGUAAUGGUCUGAGAGGAUGAUCAGUCAC